Molecule: ribosomal RNA, 253 nt
Filed under: uncultured Thermogymnomonas sp.
Lineage: Archaea; Methanobacteriati; Thermoplasmatota; Thermoplasmata; Thermoplasmatales
Description: partial 16S ribosomal RNA
Rfam family: Archaeal small subunit ribosomal RNA
Source: RNAcentral
CACCCGCAGCUCGAGUGGUGGUCACUAUUAUUGAGCCUAAAGCGUUCGUAGCCGGUUUCGUAAAUCUUCAGUUAAAUUCCUCUGCUUAACAGAGGAGCUACCGGAGAGACUACGAGACUAGGGACCGGGUGAGGUUGGAGGUACUUCCGGGGUAGGGGUAAAAUCCUGUAAUCUUGGAAGGACGACCGGUGGCGAAGGCGUCCAACUAGAACGGAUCCGACGGUGAGGAACGAGGGCUAGGGGAGCAAACCGG